This 78-nucleotide small RNA is filed under the name Arabidopsis thaliana (thale cress). Its description in RNAcentral is "ATSL298780". Lineage: Eukaryota; Viridiplantae; Streptophyta; Magnoliopsida; Brassicales; Brassicaceae. The record is from RNAcentral.
AUCAGACUGAGAAAAACGAGCUGCGAGAUGAGAAACAGAGGCUGAAGACAGAGAAAGAAAAGCUGGAGCAGCAGCUGA